This 427-nucleotide ribosomal RNA is filed under the name uncultured bacterium. Its description in RNAcentral is "bacterial SSU rRNA". It matches the Rfam family "Bacterial small subunit ribosomal RNA", at positions 355 to 774 of the family's 1533-position model. The record is from RNAcentral.
UGGGGAAUUUUGGACAAUGGGCGCAAGCCUGAUCCAGCCAUGCCGCGUGAGUGAAGAAGGCCUUCGGGUUGUAAAGCUCUUUCGGCCGGGAAGAAAUCGUGUUCUCUAACAUAGGACAUGGAUGACGGUACCGGACUAAGAAGCACCGGCUAACUACGUGCCAGCAGCCGCGGUAAUACGUAGGGUGCGAGCGUUAAUCGGAAUUACUGGGCGUAAAGCGUGCGCAGGCGGUUUGCUAAGACAGGUGUGAAAUCCCCGGGCUUAAGCUGGGAACUGCGCUUGUGACUGGCAGGCUAGAGUACGGCAGAGGGGGGUGGAAUUCCUGGUGUAGCAGUGAAAUGCGUAGAGAUCAGGAGGAACACCGAUGGCGAAGGCAGCCCCCUGGGCCUGUACUGACGCUCAUGCACGAAAGCGUGGGGAGCAAACA